AUGCUUAGGAUUGAUCUUGCCAAAGCCUUGGAUAGUAUUGAAUGGAAUUUUAGUAUUUCCACACUUGCUCGUAAAGGGUUGCAUGGUCAUUUUAUAAAUUUGAUCUACGCUUGCAUGUCCUCUCAUAUCUUCUCUAUAAUUAUUAAUGGUCAAACUUUUCAAAGAUUCAAAAGCAGUAGGGGUAUUAAGCAGGGAUGUCCUUUAUCCCCCCAUAUUGUUUUGUUGGCUAUUUAUGACCUUUCCCUGGCUCUCAAUGAUGCUAUGACGGCUAACAACCUGCAAGGUAUCCUUCUUGGACUGAAUUGUCCCCCUAUUCAUUCAAUACUCCUUGCAGAUGACCUCUUGGUCUAUGGGCAAGCAAGCCAACGGAAAGCAUCUAUUAUGACACACAUUCUUCAACACUUUUGUGCUAUCUCAGGUCAGACCCCAAACAGGAAAAAAAACAGCUAUCCUCUUCAGUGCCAAUGUUCAUCCUGCCAGUAUUCUUAA
This 489-nucleotide ribosomal RNA is filed under the name Triticum aestivum (bread wheat). RNAcentral's name for it is "partial small subunit ribosomal RNA". Lineage: Eukaryota; Viridiplantae; Streptophyta; Magnoliopsida; Poales; Poaceae. The record is from RNAcentral.